RNAcentral lists this small RNA (1598 nucleotides) under Cryptococcus neoformans H99. RNAcentral describes it as "Cryptococcus neoformans var. grubii H99 hypothetical RNA". The record is from RNAcentral. Lineage: Eukaryota; Fungi; Basidiomycota; Tremellomycetes; Tremellales; Cryptococcaceae.
CGCCUUCUGCAACGAAAGCUUCCCAAUUUCGAUUAACUUGGGUUACCGCCUGAUUGAAGAAUAACACCAUAUUGAAUGAAGAUGGAAAUAGGAAUGAGUGCAUGCUUUUCAAGAUGUCCAUGAUCAAAACUCCUGUACCAUUGAGGUCGAUGGAUCGGGACUGGUCGAAUUUGAUUUUGACUUGAACCCGCUCAAAUACUAAACGAGCUAUCAGCUCUGUCUGCCCGUCAAUCAGUACGAAACCGAUCUUGGCUUACUCUUUUGUAGAAGCCGAAAUGACCCGGCAAGUCUUCGGCUCCUUCCUUAAACUCUUCGUGGUCCUCAAACAUUGGAGGUUCACCAUCAUCAAGUGCAGUCUUCUCCAUUGUGAUUAACUAUCUCAGCUCGUCAGUUUAAUGUUCGGAAAAUAUAAUGAACGAAACAUGACACACCCGUCUACCCCACUUUCCAAAAUCCUGCACGCUUCCAUCCCCGAUCUUUAAUUCCCUCAUUCCUUCUACCUUAGGGAUAUCGAUCUCGUCAUAAUCCUCAUUAACGGUUGGCAAGAAGAAAACUAAACGGCCUUUGGGCACAAGGAUCCAUCGCGCAAGGAGAAUCAAGUCGAGGGUGAGGUUGGCUAGUUCGUAAGGGCGAGAAGGGGGGAUAUAGUCUGACCGUCUAAAAAUGAAGUCAGUAUACCUAUUUAAUACUUGAUGAAAGGGGUAACAACGCACUCGUGCGAGUAGGUACCAUCAGGUAAUUGAUACGGCUCUUCCCUCAAAGGCUUCUUUCCCUCCUUACGACCGAGACGCUUUGCACCUGCCCUAACGCCAUCUACCAGUACGCACCAUUAGUGUCGGGUAAUCGAAAAGGAUUUGACAUACAAGGAGGAUCUGUGAUGAUAGCAUCAAUCCAUCCACCCCGACGAAUAGGACCUCUCGUGACAUCGAAAAUAUAGAAGUCCAGGAAUUUAUCCUGAAGUCGGUAUUGCUCAGCAGCACGAAGAAUUCCGGGCUUGAUACCCUUGCCCUUCUCUAAUGAUAUCGUCACUUCGGUCUAUUGGAAGCCAGAACCGAUUAACUUACUUUUGCCUCGGAUUUGUCUACCAUCAAUAUCGGAACCCAUAACAUAAGCUCCGAAUUGUGCGACUGCGUAUAGCAUAGAACCGGUUCCAACAAAGGGAUCGUAGAUGAGUUUUCCUGGGACAGGCUACAAGAAUACUAUUAGCCUGCCAUGAGGAAUCUCAAGCGAUCACUCACUAGAGCUUGGUUAGCCAUAAGGAAUCCCAUCUGUGCCUCCAUGGAGGUGUUGCCGUAGUAUGCUCGAGUUUUGACGGAGUGAGAGAUGAUCAAUUGCCUAGCUCGACCGUUUCCGAUCUAGCUCGUAAACUCGGUGAAAUUUGCCAUCUCGCGCAAGGCGUUGCUCGGGGGUGUUAGCGGCGACCCAAUCGUCUGAUGCGCGCUGUCAAUCUAAUUGGAUGCAGAAGGAAAUGAGAACAACUUACAAUCCUCAUAAACAAUGAAUUCCACUUCUGGGUUUUUUAAUCUGAUUUUGCCUUCUAAACCAGUGUAUUUAAACGAGUUGAUAGUUUCUCUGCGCAGAUCAAUCAGCAACAAAAU